UUGGAGGGCAAGUCUGGUGCCAGCAGCCGCGGUAAUUCCAGCUCCAAUAGCGUAUAUUAAAGUUGUUGCAGUUAAAAAGCUCGUAGUUGAAUUUCGGGAUUCUACCGUUGGUCGGGCUAACAAGUCUGUACUGGUGUGUAGAAUUUCUACCUUCUGGGGAACUAUCAUGUUAUUAAUUUAGCGUGGUGGGAAACCAGGACCUUUACCUUGAAAAAAUUAGAGUGUUCAAAGCAGGCUUACGUCUGAAUACAUUAGCAUGGAAUAAUAGAAUAGGACGGUGGUCCUGUUCUGUUGGUUUCUGAAUCACCGUAAUGAUUAAUAGGGAUAGUUGGGGGCAUUAGUAUUCAAUUGUCAGAGGUGAAAUUCUUGGAUUUAUUGAAGACUAACUUCUGCGAAAGCAUUUGCCAAGGAUGUUUUCAUUAAUCAAGAACAAAGUUAGGGGAUCGAAGACGAUCAGAUACCGUCGUAGUCUUAACCAUAAACUAUGCCGACUAGGGAUCGGACGAUGUUAAAUUUUAUUGACUCGUUCGGCGCCUUACGGGAAACCAAAGUGUUUGGGUUC
RNAcentral lists this ribosomal RNA (562 nucleotides) under uncultured Glomeromycotina. RNAcentral's name for it is "SSU rRNA". It matches the Rfam family "Eukaryotic small subunit ribosomal RNA", at positions 548 to 1114 of the family's 1831-position model. Lineage: Eukaryota; Fungi; Glomeromycota. The record is from RNAcentral.